CCUACGGGUGGCAGCAGUGGGGAAUAUUGCGCAAUGGGCGCGAGCCUGACGCAGCGACGCCGCGUGAAGGAUGAAGGUCUUCGGAUCGUAAACCUCUGUCAGCAGGGAAGAACGGUCACUGUGCUAAUCAGCAGUGAAUUGACGGUACCUGCAAAGGAAGCACCGGCUAACUCCGUGCCAGCAGCCGCGGUAAUACGGAGGGUGCGAGCGUUAAUCGGAAUUGCUGGGCGUAAAGCGAUCGUAGGCGGUAUGUCAAGUCAAGGGUGAAAUCCCCGCGCUCAACGUGGGAACUGCCUUUGAAACUGGCAAUCUUGAGUGGGGUAGAGGUGAGCGGAAUUCGAGGUGUAGGAGUGAAAUCCGUAGAUAUCGGGAGGAACAGCAGGGGCGAAGGCGACUAUCUGGAACAUAACUGACGCUGAGGAGCGAAAGCGUGGGUAGCAAACAGGAUUAGAUACCCUUGUAGUC
Molecule: ribosomal RNA, 465 nt
Filed under: uncultured bacterium
Lineage: Bacteria
Description: partial 16S ribosomal RNA
Rfam family: Bacterial small subunit ribosomal RNA
Source: RNAcentral